GAAGCCAUUUGCUUCUGUUCUGGCAAUAGCACUCCUCCUCCUCACCAUUCUCUGCAACCACAUGGCUUCUGCAGAUUUCAAACUCGGACGGAAACUUUCGCAGACGCCAUAUCCCACACCUCCCGGUGGAUACGGCCCCCCCGGCGGCUACGGCCCUCCCGGUGGAUACGGCCCUCCCUACUGCCCUCCCUCGUCAUAUGGCUGCCGUCCCUCAAAACCAUAGUUAUGUUUCAUAAGUCAUAACUAGUUUUAAGGUUUUGCUGCAAUUCUGGUUUGGCUCACGUAUCCUAAACUUUAUGGUGGCCAGAAGGUAGUUCAGUACCAUAUACAUAGACACACACACACCCCCAUCUCAGUGUCCAAAUAAACCUUCUGGGAUAUAUGCGUCAGAAGUUAGUUCAGUACCAUAUAUUGGUCUGUGUAUUCCAAGCUUCUGUACCGUACCCAUCCAAGAGCUUAAUUAUACCACUUUCAGUCCUAAUUAUAAAAUUUUAUUUGUAGACUA
Long non-coding RNA from Neltuma alba, 505 nucleotides. RefSeq lists it as uncharacterized. The transcript is spliced from 2 exons. NCBI's taxonomy places the organism in Eukaryota, Viridiplantae, Streptophyta, Magnoliopsida, Fabales, Fabaceae. The record is from RefSeq and is a predicted model, not a curated record.